UGGCGGGCUGCGAGUGCAGCCACGACCCGGAUUUCUUAGCCCUCAAGGCCAGCCAAUCAGUAUGGCGCCCUCUCCAGCUUCUCCUCCCUCUGAAUCCAGGUAGGGGUUCUCCAAAUCUUCCGCUACAGAUCCUAGUGCAAGUGGCAUCUAGACCUCCCAGUUGAUCUGCAACGCCUUGAGCUCGCUGAAGCCCUUGCUGUAGCGGAUGUCUGC
Oryza brachyantha (malo sina) is the source of this 213-nucleotide long non-coding RNA. RefSeq lists it as uncharacterized. The record is from RefSeq and is a predicted model, not a curated record. The transcript has 3 exons. Lineage: Eukaryota; Viridiplantae; Streptophyta; Magnoliopsida; Poales; Poaceae.